This 69-nucleotide non-coding RNA is filed under the name unclassified sequences. The record is from RNAcentral.
AGAGUCCUACUCGGAAGCGAAGGCCCAAGUUCUAUACUACGGCGGUUUAUGUAGCUUAAGCGGGACUUU